Molecule: ribosomal RNA, 252 nt
Filed under: uncultured archaeon
Lineage: Archaea
Description: partial 16S ribosomal RNA
Rfam family: Archaeal small subunit ribosomal RNA
Source: RNAcentral
CAGCCGUAAACUAUGCGCGUUAGGUGUACUGGUGACCACGAGUCACCGGGGUGCCGAAGGGAAACCGUGAAACGUGCCGCCUGGGAAGUACGGUCGCAAGGCUGAAACUUAAAGGAAUUGGCGGGGGGAGGCACCACAACGGGUGGAGCCUGCGGUUUAAUUGGACUCAACGCCGGAAAUCUCACCGGAUAGGACAGACAUAUGAUAGUCGGGCUGAAGACUCUACUUGAUAAUCUGAGAGGAGGUGCAUGG